UUUCGCCUGCCCCUUAGGGUGCCGAAUUUACGCCUCGUGCUACCAAGAAUGUCUUCGGGUUGUUGACCGCUGUCGGGAGUUAAGAACUGCAAGGAUGUUAAUAGCAUCUUUGUUUGACUAAGGCUCCGGAGGAAGCCAAUAUCUAACUCUGUGCCCGCUCCCGCGGAAAUACCAAUGCCGCCUCCGUUGUUCGGAAUUAUUGGGCGUAAAGAGCACGUAUGCGGUUGUGUAAGUGGGUUGUGAAACCCUUCCGCUUAACGGAUAAACGGUCUCCAAUACUGCAUAUUUCGAGUGCGGGAGGGGAGAGCGGAACUUCUGGUGGAGCGGGGAAAUGCGUAGAUAUGACAUCGAACACCGGCGGAGAAAGCCACUCUCUGGCCCGUAACUGAUGCUGAUCGUGCGAAAGCUAGGGGAGCUAACGGGAUUAGGUACUCCGGUAGUCCUAGCCGUCAAUUAUGGGCACUUUCUAGAGGGGUUUU
This 479-nucleotide ribosomal RNA is filed under the name uncultured Planctomycetales bacterium. Its description in RNAcentral is "bacterial SSU rRNA". It matches the Rfam family "Bacterial small subunit ribosomal RNA", at positions 364 to 832 of the family's 1533-position model. The record is from RNAcentral. Lineage: Bacteria; Pseudomonadati; Planctomycetota; Planctomycetia; Planctomycetales.